RNAcentral lists this ribosomal RNA (380 nucleotides) under uncultured bacterium. Its description in RNAcentral is "bacterial SSU rRNA". It matches the Rfam family "Bacterial small subunit ribosomal RNA", at positions 355 to 747 of the family's 1533-position model. The record is from RNAcentral.
UGGGGAAUAUUGCACAAUGGGCGAAAGCCUGAUGCAGCAACGCCGCGUGAGGGAUGACGGCCUUCGGGUUGUAAACCUCUUUUGGCAGGGAAGAAGCGAAAGUGACGGUACCUGCAGAAAAAGCACCGGCUAACUACGUGCCAGCAGCCGCGGUAAUACGUAGGGUGCAAGCGUUGUCCGGAAUUAUUGGGCGUAAAGAGCUCGUAGGCGGUUUGUCGCGUCUGCUGUGAAAACGCGAGGCUCAACCUCGCGCCUGCAGUGGGUACGGGCAGACUGGAGUGCGGUAGGGGAGAUUGGAAUUCCUGGUGUAGCGGUGGAAUGCGCAGAUAUCAGGAGGAACACCGAUGGCGAAGGCAGAUCUCUGGGCCGUAACUGACGCU